AUGUCCUGGCCUCAUCCAGAUGCUCCUCACAGUCGCCAAGGUCCUCCUCCAGCCACCUCCACAUUCUCUCCAGCAAGGCCUCUGUGGCUCGAGUGUCCUCCUGUCCCCAGGGAGAAGAGGUCACUCUGGAGACUGCCGGCCUCUAGCUCUUCCCAAGGCCAGGCCUGGGCCGCUUUCCCCUUCCCCCUAGGAGCCCUGGCUCCUGUCCGCCUCUGCCUCACUCCCAGCACCCCCAGGGAGGCUGGGGAAAUGCCCGGGGAAGGAAGGGCACACGGAUCCAGGGCAGAAGAGAUGGGAAAGUCUCGGCUCUGGCGUCAGAAGGCACAGUGGAGGGGCAGCUGGCUAGCCCAGAGAAUGGAGCACCAGGACUGGAGGUGCUGGGUUCAAAGAUGGCCUCAGACGCUUCCUAGCUGGGUGACCCUGGGAGAGCCGCUGUUUGCCCAGCCCUUGCUGCCCUUCUGUCUGAAAGUUGUUACAAAGACAGAAAGUAAGGGCGUCAAGCAUCAAUGAAAAAAGAAGCCAAGUUCUAGCCAUGACUAAAACCCAGAGCCCUUGCCUGCCGGUCCCAAUGCGCCUAGACCAGAUGCUCUCAAAGGCCCCGGGCUAAAACUGAUUUUAAAGACAAGCAAAGGGGCAGCCCGGUGGCUCAGUGGAUGGAGAGCCAAGCCUACAUGAUGGGAGGUUCUAGGUUCAAUUUUGGCCUCAGACACUUCCUAGCUGGGUGACCCUGGGCAAGUCACUCAACCUCCACUGCAACCUCCUAGUCCCAGUAUGGAUUCUAAGCCAAGGUAAGGGCUUAAACACAAAAGCAAGGCAACAGUUUCUCUGGAAAGGAGGGAACACGGAGCAGAGGGCGGGCACCCUGAACUCUGUCCCGCUCCCCAGCUUCCUGCUAGACUGGCCAUCCUCAUAAUCUAGAAAGGGGCCCGGAGGCUCAGAAGGGUCCCCAAGCCCUUGUGUGAUGGCCGCGGGGCAGGGACGGGAAGGGGAGGCCUCCGAGGUCCCGGGACCCCCCCUGCAGCUCCCUCGGUGGGCUCGGAAAGCACCUGGAGACCCUCCCACCCCCCAAGCAUCCCAGGGCUACGGCGUAGGGGCUCCGCCUCCUCCCAAGCCUUCAGGAGUCCCCUCCAACCUCCCCUUACUCAGAACUCCAGGGUCCUCCAUAAGGUAGAGCAGGGAGCCCUGUCGGUCAUAGAGAACAGCGUAGGGCACCAGCAGCCCCGGCCCGGGGGGGAGGAAGAGAAAGUGAUGGAGCAUCUUCUGCCAGUCCGAGACCACGGGCACCUGGGGGGAGUCACGAGGAAAGACCCGGGCUGCCAUUCCUGGGGCGGGAUCCCAGAAAGACGCCGGGGUCGGGGAGAGAACUGGGCCUAGGAGAGGAACUUCCCCAAGCCCUUUCGGGGCAGCGGGGAGCCCCGGAAGGCUCUGCCCCAGGCAGGCGCGGAGGGGCAGGAGCCUCCGGCUGGGACCUUAGUCACCCACCAGCCCCACCGGCUACUCCAAGGCUAAUCAUAAGCGCUACCCA
RNAcentral lists this long non-coding RNA (1525 nucleotides) under Monodelphis domestica (gray short-tailed opossum). RNAcentral's name for it is "lncRNA (ENSMODG00000042273.1)". Lineage: Eukaryota; Metazoa; Chordata; Mammalia; Didelphimorphia; Didelphidae. The record is from RNAcentral.